This 956-nucleotide ribosomal RNA is filed under the name Bacillus tropicus. Its description in RNAcentral is "bacterial SSU rRNA". It matches the Rfam family "Bacterial small subunit ribosomal RNA", at positions 50 to 986 of the family's 1533-position model. Lineage: Bacteria; Bacillati; Bacillota; Bacilli; Caryophanales; Bacillaceae. The record is from RNAcentral.
UAUACUGCAAGUCGAGCGAAUGGAUUAAGAGCUUGCUCUUAUGAAGUUAGCGGCGGACGGGUGAGUAACACGUGGGUAACCUGCCCAUAAGACUGGGAUAACUCCGGGAAACCGGGGCUAAUACCGGAUAACAUUUUGAACCGCAUGGUUCGAAAUUGAAAGGCGGCUUCGGCUGUCACUUAUGGAUGGACCCGCGUCGCAUUAGCUAGUUGGUGAGGUAACGGCUCACCAAGGCAACGAUGCGUAGCCGACCUGAGAGGGUGAUCGGCCACACUGGGACUGAGACACGGCCCAGACUCCUACGGGAGGCAGCAGUAGGGAAUCUUCCGCAAUGGACGAAAGUCUGACGGAGCAACGCCGCGUGAGUGAUGAAGGCUUUCGGGUCGUAAAACUCUGUUGUUAGGGAAGAACAAGUGCUAGUUGAAUAAGCUGGCACCUUGACGGUACCUAACCAGAAAGCCACGGCUAACUACGUGCCAGCAGCCGCGGUAAUACGUAGGUGGCAAGCGUUAUCCGGAAUUAUUGGGCGUAAAGCGCGCGCAGGUGGUUUCUUAAGUCUGAUGUGAAAGCCCACGGCUCAACCGUGGAGGGUCAUUGGAAACUGGGAGACUUGAGUGCAGAAGAGGAAAGUGGAAUUCCAUGUGUAGCGGUGAAAUGCGUAGAGAUAUGGAGGAACACCAGUGGCGAAGGCGACUUUCUGGUCUGUAACUGACACUGAGGCGCGAAAGCGUGGGGAGCACACAGGAUUAGAUACCCUGGUAGUCCACGCCGUAAACGAUGAGUGCUAAGUGUUAGAGGGUUUCCGCCCUUUAGUGCUGAAGUUAACGCAUUAAGCACUCCGCCUGGGGAGUACGGCCGCAAGGCUGAAACUCAAAGGAAUUGACGGGCGCCCGCACAAGCGGUGGAGCAUGUGUUUUAAUUCAAAUCAACGCGAAGAACCUUACCAGGUCUUGACA